UGCGUCUGAAGGUACCUCCAAAGGAAGCUCCGGCUAACUCCGUGCCAGCAGCCGCGGUAAUACGGAGGGAGCAAACGUUGUUCGGAUUUACUGGGUGUAAAGGGUGCGUAGGCGGCUACGUGUGUCAGAGGUGAAAGCUCACGGCUCAACCGUGGAACUGCCUUUGAAACUGCGUAGCUUGAGUCCGAGAGAGGAUGGUGGAAUUCCUGGUGUAACGGUGAAAUGUGCGGAUAUCAGGAAGAACACCGGUGGCGAAGGCGGCCAUCUGGCUCGGUACUGACGCUGAGGCACGAAAGCUAGGGUAUCGAACGGGAUUAGAUACCCCGGUAGUCCUAGCCGUAAACGAUGUCCACUAGGUGUCGGAGGUCCUACCCCUUCGGUGCCGGAGCUAACGCAUUAAGUGGACCACCUGGGGAGUACGCUCGCAAGGGUGAAACUCAAAGGAAUUGACGGGGGCCCGCACAAGCGGUGGAGCAUGUGGUUUAAUUCGAUGCAACGCGAAGAACCUUACCUGGGCUUGACAUGCAGGGGACAGGUGUAGAGAUACACCCUUCUUCGGACUCCUGUACAGGUGCUGCAUGGCUGUCGUCAGCUCGUGUCGUGAAAUGUUGGGUUAAGUCCCGCAACGAGCGCAACCCUUGUCCUUAGUUGCCAGCACGUCAUGGUGGGAACUCUAGGGAGACUGCCGGUGACAAACCGGAGGAAGGUGGGGACGACGUCAAGUCAUCAUGGCCCUUACGUCCAGGGCUACACACGUGCUACAAUGGCACAUACAGAGGGCAGCGAACCCGCGAGGGGAAGCCAAUCCCAAAAAGUGUGCCUCAGUUCGGAUCGCAGUCUGCAACUCGACUG
Molecule: ribosomal RNA, 852 nt
Filed under: uncultured candidate division GN03 bacterium
Lineage: Bacteria
Description: bacterial SSU rRNA
Rfam family: Bacterial small subunit ribosomal RNA
Source: RNAcentral